RNAcentral lists this transfer RNA (72 nucleotides) under Muribaculaceae bacterium. RNAcentral describes it as "tRNA-Met". It matches the Rfam family "tRNA". From Rfam's summary of the family: Transfer RNA (tRNA) molecules are approximately 80 nucleotides in length. Their secondary structure includes four short double-helical elements and three loops (D, anti-codon, and T loops). Further hydrogen bonds mediate the characteristic L-shaped molecular structure. tRNAs have two regions of fundamental functional importance: the anti-codon, which is responsible for specific mRNA codon recognition, and the 3' end, to which the tRNAs corresponding amino acid is attached (by aminoacyl-tRNA synthetases). tRNAs cope with the degeneracy of the genetic code in two manners: having more than one tRNA (with a specific anti-codon) for a particular amino acid; and 'wobble' base-pairing, i.e. permitting non-standard base-pairing at the 3rd anti-codon position. Lineage: Bacteria; Pseudomonadati; Bacteroidota; Bacteroidia; Bacteroidales; Muribaculaceae. The record is from RNAcentral.
CGCGGGGUGGAGCAGUGGUAGCUCGUUGGGCUCAUAACCCAAAGGUCGUCGGUUCGAGUCCGGCCCCCGCCA